Urocitellus parryii (Arctic ground squirrel) is the source of this 532-nucleotide long non-coding RNA. RefSeq lists it as uncharacterized. NCBI's taxonomy places the organism in Eukaryota, Metazoa, Chordata, Mammalia, Rodentia, Sciuridae. The record is from RefSeq and is a predicted model, not a curated record.
GUCCAUUUGAGGUCACAGAGAGAAGGCAGCCACAGUAAGCCAGGAAGAGAGCCCUGAGCAGAAACCAAAUUGAGUGGAAUCUUCAUGUUGACUGGAACCUUGAUGUUGGACUUUCCAGCCUCCAAAAACUGAAGAAGGUACAGCACUUACAGCCAUCUUGGUCAUCUUCUCUUCCCGUUCCUAAAUGGCACGAGACAUGCUCCUGCCUGAGGACAUUUGUGGCCUAUUUUCUCUUCCUCCAAAGCCUGAUGGCUAACCCUUUAACCUCCUUUAUGUUCUACUCAAAAGUGGACUGGGGGCAGGGGUUUGAAAUCCUGAGCUCAAGUGAUCCUCCUGCCUGUGCUUCCUGAAUAGCUGGGACUACAGCCAUGUGCCACCAUGCCCAGCCAGAAUCGCUUCUUGGGAUGUCUUUUUCAGUGAUGUAGACCAAUGCCACAAGUUCAAAAAUAUCUAACCUCUGAACCUCCUUAUAUUGCUGGAUUCAAUAGUCCCACACAGAAAUGCUGCUUUGAAUAGUAAAACAUAAUCUUAA